CCUACGGGGGGCAGCAGUGGGGAAUAUUGGACAAUGGGGGCAACCCUGAUCCAGCCAUGCCGCGUGUGUGAAGAAGGCCCUCGGGUUGUAAAGCACUUUCAGUGAGGAAGAACGCCUGGUGGUUAAUACCCAUCAGGAAAGACAUCACUCACAGAAGAAGCACCGGCCAACUCCGUGCCAGCAGCCGCGGUAAUACGGAGGGUGCGAGCGUUAAUCGGAAUUACUGGGCGUAAAGCGCGCGUAGGUGGCUUGAUAAGCCGGUUGUGAAAGCCCCGGGCUCAACCUGGGAACGGCAUCCGGAACUGUCAAGCUAGAGUGCAGGAGAGGAAGGUAGAAUUCCCGGUGUAGCGGUGAAAUGCGUAGAGAUCGGGAGGAAUACCAGUGGCGAAGGCGGCCUUCUGGACGGACACUGACACUGAGGUGCGAAAGCGUGGGUAGCAAACAGGAUUAGAUACCCUUGUAGUC
Molecule: ribosomal RNA, 465 nt
Filed under: Vreelandella stevensii
Lineage: Bacteria; Pseudomonadati; Pseudomonadota; Gammaproteobacteria; Oceanospirillales; Halomonadaceae
Description: partial 16S ribosomal RNA
Rfam family: Bacterial small subunit ribosomal RNA
Source: RNAcentral